GCUCUUGUAACUCAGUGGUCAGAGUGUCUGUCUUAUAUGGGGCAUUCCUCCGUAUGCACGCAGAAGGUCGUGAGUUCAACCCUCACCUGGAGCA
Molecule: non-coding RNA, 94 nt
Organism: Entophlyctis luteolus
Lineage: Eukaryota; Fungi; Chytridiomycota; Chytridiomycetes; Chytridiales; Chytriomycetaceae
Source: the annotation of a GenBank genome assembly